Molecule: ribosomal RNA, 322 nt
Filed under: uncultured eukaryote
Lineage: Eukaryota
Description: partial 18S ribosomal RNA
Rfam family: Eukaryotic small subunit ribosomal RNA
Source: RNAcentral
CCCUUAGAUGUUCUGGGCCGCACGCGUGCUACACUGAGUGGAUCAGCGGGUCAGGUUGCGCGAAAGUGUUUCCUAAUCUUGAAAUCCGCUCGUGAUGGGGAUUGACGGUUGCAAUUUUCCGUCAUGAACGAGGAAUACCUUGUAAGCGCGGGUCAUCAUCCCGCGCUGAAUACGUCCCUGCCCUUUGUACACACCGCCCGUCGCUCCUACCGAUUGAGUGGUCCGGUGAGGCUUUGGGAUCUGAGCGGAAAGAGCGUUUCGCUGUUUCUGCUCGGAAAACUCAAUCGAACCUUAUCAUUUAGAGGAAGGAGAAGUCGUAACA